AAUGUUUAAACUCGUCGAAUAAUAACACAAAAUCAGAAGCAAACAUUUGGGCGACUUUUUAAACAGGAGAAUGUUCAAACUCGUCGAAUAAUCUCACCAAAUCGGAAGAAACAGUUUGGCGACUUUUUAAACAGGAGAAUGUCCAAACUCGCCGAAUAAUCUCACAAAAUCGGAAAAAAACAUUUGGCGACUUUUUAAACAGGAGUAUUUUCAAACUCGUCGAAUAAUCACACAAAAUCAGAAGCAAAAAUUUUGGCGACUUUUUAAACAGGAGAAUUAUCAAACUCGUCGAAUAAUCACACAAAAUCAGAAGCAAAAAUUUUGACGAAUUUUUAAACAGGAGAAUUAUCAAACUCGUCGAAUAAUCACACAAAAUCAGAAGCAAAAAUUUUGACGAAUUUUUA
Molecule: long non-coding RNA, 404 nt
Organism: Mytilus californianus (California mussel)
Lineage: Eukaryota; Metazoa; Mollusca; Bivalvia; Mytilida; Mytilidae
Exons: 6
Source: RefSeq, a predicted model, not a curated record